This 254-nucleotide ribosomal RNA is filed under the name uncultured bacterium. RNAcentral describes it as "partial 16S ribosomal RNA". It matches the Rfam family "Bacterial small subunit ribosomal RNA", at positions 524 to 776 of the family's 1533-position model. The record is from RNAcentral.
UACAGAGGUGCCAAGCGUUAGGCGGAAUCACUGGGCUUAAAGCGCGUGUAGGCGGGUCGUUAAGUGUCCGAGUGAAAUCCCACGGCUCAACCGUGGAACUGCCGGGCAUACUGGCGAUCUUGAGGCAUUCAGGGGCGAGCGGAACAAAUGGUGGAGCGGUGAAAUGCGUAGAUAUCAUUUGGAACGCCAAUGGUGAAAACAGCUCGCUGGGAAUGAUCUGGCGCUGAGACGCGAAAGCCAGGGGAGCGAACGGG